GGGGAAUAUUGGACAAUGGGCGCAAGCCUGAUCCAGCCAUGCCGCGUGGGUGAAGAAGGCCUUCGGGUUGUAAAGCCCUUUUAUUGGGAAAGAAAAGCAGCCGGCCAAUACCCGGUUGUUCUGACGGUACCCAAAGAAUAAGCACCGGCUAACUUCGUGCCAGCAGCCGCGGUAAUACGAAGGGUGCAAGCGUUACUCGGAAUUACUGGGCGUAAAGCGUGCGUAGGUGGUGGUUUAAGUCCGUUGUGAAAGCCCUGGGCUCAACCCAUAUCAGCGUUCAAAGCUGCUUUUCUUGAGUGAAGUAGAGGUUGGCGGAAUUCCUAGUGUAGCGGUGAAAUGCGUAGAUAUUAGGAGGAACACCAGUGGCGAAGGCGGCCAACUGGGCUUUUACUGACGCUGAGGCUCGAAAGCGUGGGGAGCAAACA
Molecule: ribosomal RNA, 425 nt
Filed under: uncultured Pseudomonadota bacterium
Lineage: Bacteria; Pseudomonadati; Pseudomonadota
Description: bacterial SSU rRNA
Rfam family: Bacterial small subunit ribosomal RNA
Source: RNAcentral